CCUACGGGUGGCAGCAGUGAGCAAUAUUGGUCAAUGGCCGUAAGGCUGAACCAGCCAAGUCGCGUGAAGGAAGACGGCCCUAUGGUUUGUAAACCUCUUUUAUAGGGGAAUAAAGGCAUCCACGUGUGGAUAUCUGCAUGUACCCUAUGAAUAAGCAUCGGCUAACUCCGUGCCAGCAGCCGCGGUAAUACGGAGGAUGCGAGCGUUAUCCGGAUUUAUUGGGUUUAAAGGGUGCGUAGGCUGUUUUUUAAGUCAGCGGUGAAAGCUUGUGGCUCAACCAUAAGAGUGCCGUUGAAACUGGAGGGCUUGAGUGUGUGUGAGGUAGGCGGAAUGCGUGGUGUAGCGGUGAAAUGCAUAGAUAUCACGCAGAACUCCGAUUGCGAAGGCAGCUUACUGGGCCAUAACUGACGCUGAGGCACGAAAGCGUGGGUAUCGAACAGGAUUAGAUACCCUUGUAGUC
This 460-nucleotide ribosomal RNA is filed under the name uncultured bacterium. RNAcentral describes it as "partial 16S ribosomal RNA". It matches the Rfam family "Bacterial small subunit ribosomal RNA", at positions 338 to 795 of the family's 1533-position model. The record is from RNAcentral.